This 253-nucleotide ribosomal RNA is filed under the name uncultured bacterium. RNAcentral describes it as "partial 16S ribosomal RNA". It matches the Rfam family "Bacterial small subunit ribosomal RNA", at positions 524 to 776 of the family's 1533-position model. The record is from RNAcentral.
UACGAAGGGGGCUAGCGUUGCUCGGAAUUACUGGGCGUAAAGCGCACGUAGGCGGAUUGUUAAGUCGGGGGUGAAAUCCUGGAGCUCAACUCCAGAACUGCCUCCGAAACUGGCGAUCUUGAGUUCGGGAGAGGUGAGUGGAACUGCGAGUGUAGAGGUGAAAUUCGUAGAUAUUGGGAAGAACACCGGUGGCGAAGGCGGCCAACUGGACCACAACUGACGCUGAGGCGCGAAAGCGUGGGGAGCAAACAGG